GCCUGUGGGAUGGCUCGGUCAGUAGAGCAUGAGACUCUUAAUCUCAUGGUCAUGGGGUUCAAGUUCCACGUUGGGCA
Molecule: non-coding RNA, 77 nt
Organism: Podarcis lilfordi (Lilford's wall lizard)
Lineage: Eukaryota; Metazoa; Chordata; Lepidosauria; Squamata; Lacertidae
Source: the annotation of a GenBank genome assembly